RNAcentral lists this ribosomal RNA (1358 nucleotides) under uncultured bacterium. RNAcentral describes it as "bacterial SSU rRNA". It matches the Rfam family "Bacterial small subunit ribosomal RNA", at positions 28 to 1381 of the family's 1533-position model. The record is from RNAcentral.
AUUGAACGCUGGCGGCAGGCUUAACACAUGCAAGUCGAACGAUGAUUAUCUAGCUUGCUAGGUAUGAUUAGUGGCGGACCGGUGAGGAACAUUUAGGAAUCUGCCUAGUAGAGGGGGAUAGCUCGGGGAAACUCCCCUCAUGUACCCCAUACUACCUACGCGUGAGAGGGCGCGCAAGCUCUGGCUAUGAGAUGAGCCUAACUCACAUUACCUAGUUGGUGGGGUAAAGGGCCACCAACGCGACGAUCUGUGACUGGCCUGAGAGGAUGAUCAGGCACACGGGAACUGAGACACGGUCCGGACUCCUACGGGAGGCAGCAGUGGGGAAUAUUGGACUAUGGGGGCAACCCUGAUCCUCCCAUGCCGCGUGUGUGAAGAAGGCCUGUUGCUUGUAAAGCACUUUAAGCAGGGAGGAGACGCUAAUGGUUAAUACCCAUUAGAUGAGACGUUACCUGCGGUGUACCCACCGGCUCACUCUGUGCCAGGCAGCCGCGGGCAUACUCAGGGUGCGAGCGCUUAUCGGAAUUACUGGGCGUAAAGCGAGUGUAGGGGGUUCAUAAAGUCACAUGUGAAAUCCCCGGGCUUAACCUGGGUAACUGCAUGUGAUACUGGUGGUGCUAGAAUAUGUGAGAGGGAAGUAGAAUUCCAGGUGUAGCGGUGAAAUGCGUAGAGAUCUGGAGGAAUACCGAUGGCGAAGGCAGCUUCCUGGCAUAAUAUUGACACUGAGAUUCGAAAGCGUGGGUAGCAAACAGGAUUAGAUACCCUGGUAGUCCACGCCGUAAACGAUGUCUACUAGCCGUUGGGGUCCUUGAGACUUUAGUGGCGCAGUUAACGCGAUAAGUAGACCGCCUGGGGAGUACGGCCGCAAGGUUAAAACUCAAAUGAAUUGACGGGGGCCCGCACAAGCGGUGGAGCAUGUGGUUUAAUUCGAUGCAACGCGAAGAACCUUACCUGGUCUUGACAUAGUGAGAAUCCUGCAGAGAUGCGGGAGUGCCUUCGGGAAUUCACAUACAGGUGCUGCAUGGCUGUCGUCAGCUCGUGUCGUGAGAUGUUGGGUUAAGUCCCGCAACGAGCGCAACCCUUUUCCUUAUUUGCCAGCGGGUUAAGCCGGGAACUUUAAGGAUACUGCCAGUGACAAACUGGAGGAAGGCGGGGACGACGUCAAGUCAUCAUGGCCCUUACGACCAGGGCUACACACGUGCUACAAUGGUAGGUACAGAGGGUUGCUACACAGCGAUGUGAUGCUAAUCUCAAAAAGCCUAUCGUAGUCCGGAUUGGAGUCUGCAACUCGACUCCAUGAAGUCGGAAUCGCUAGUAAUCGCAGAUCAGAAUGCUGCGGUGAAUACGUUCCCGGGCCU